This 439-nucleotide ribosomal RNA is filed under the name uncultured bacterium. RNAcentral's name for it is "partial 16S ribosomal RNA". It matches the Rfam family "Bacterial small subunit ribosomal RNA", at positions 339 to 795 of the family's 1533-position model. The record is from RNAcentral.
CUACGGGUUGCUGCAGUGAGGAAUAUUGCACAAUGGGGGGAACCCUGAUGCAGCAACGGCGCGUGGAGGAUGACGCAUUUCGGUGUGUAAACUCCUUUUAUAUGUCAAGAAAAUGACGGUAGCAUAUGAAUAAGCACCGGCUAACUCCGUGCCAGCAGCCGCGGUAAUAGGGAGGGUGCAAGCGUUACUCGGAAUCACUGGGCGUAAAGGACGCGUAGGCGGGUUGGAAAGUCAGGUGUGAAAUCCUACAGCUUAACUGUAGAACUGCACUUGAAACUUCUAAUCUAGAGUAUGGGAGGGGGAGAUGGAAUUAGUGGUGUAGGGGUAAAAUCCGUAGAUAUCACUAGGAAUACCUAAAGCGAAGGCGAUCUCCUGGAACAUUACUGACGCUAAGGCGUGAAAGCGUGGGGAGCAAACAGGAUUAGAUACCCUUGUAGUC